This 497-nucleotide ribosomal RNA is filed under the name uncultured bacterium. Its description in RNAcentral is "bacterial SSU rRNA". It matches the Rfam family "Bacterial small subunit ribosomal RNA", at positions 15 to 507 of the family's 1533-position model. The record is from RNAcentral.
GAUCAUGGCUCAGAUUGAACGCUGGCGGCAUGCGUAACACAUGCAAGUCGAACGGCGUUUGGUGCUUGCACCAGACAUAGUGGUGGACGGGUGAGUAAUGCGUAGGAAUCUGUCUUAGAGAGGGGGACAACCCGAGGAAACUUGGGCUAAAACCGCAUAUUCUCGAGAGAGGAAAGCAGGGGACCGGAAACGGCCUUGUGCUCUAAGGUGAGCCUACGUCGGAUUAGCUAGUUGGUAGGGUAAAAGCCUACCAAGGCGAUGAUCUGUAGCUGGUCUGAGAGGACGGACAGCCACACUGGGACUGAGACACGGUCCAGACUCCUACGGGAGGCAGCAGUGGGGAAUAUUGGACAAUGGGGGGAACCCUGAUCCAGCGAUGCCGCGUGUGUGAAGAAGGCCUGCGGGUUGUAAAGCACUUUCAGUGGGAAAGAGAAGCGUCUUGUGAAUAAUGGGACGUGGAGACGUUACUCACAGAAGAAGCACCGGCUAACUCUGUG